UCUAGAGAUGUCAACAGGUCGGAUUCGGGGCGGAUUUUUAAAAAUCCGAACCGGAAUCCAACUCCAAACCCGAGACCCAAAUCCGAACCAGAACCCGAACCCAAACCCGAAUCCGACGGAUUUUAAAAAUCCAUAUAAUCCGAACCCGACGAAGAAUCCGAAUCCCGAACCCGAACCCAAACCCGAAAAUUUGAAUCCGAAACAAUUAUUUCUUUUUUCAAUAUUUCAAAAUAUAUUAUAUUAAAUCUAAAUUUUUAAAAUACAAAUUCAAAUAUAACAUCAAAUAUAUAUAUAUAUAUAUAUAUAAUAUAUAUAUAUAUAUAUAUUAUAUAAUACAAAAUAAAUUCAGGUUCGGGUCGGGUACAAUCAAAAUCCAUAUUCAAAUCCAUAUCUGUCCGAUUUUUAUUUUUGAUAUCUAUAUCCGAAUCCAGAUCCAUAUCCAUCAAAUACAUCCGUUUUAUCCGGGUUCGAAUUCGGAUAAAAUUUAGAGUAUCCAUAUUCAUUGACAUUCCUAGUUGCAUCUGCACAU
RNAcentral lists this long non-coding RNA (529 nucleotides) under Ananas comosus (pineapple). RNAcentral's name for it is "long non-coding RNA (ACOM_LNC004709)". Lineage: Eukaryota; Viridiplantae; Streptophyta; Magnoliopsida; Poales; Bromeliaceae. The record is from RNAcentral.